GACGAACCGUGCAAACGUUGUUCGGAAUCACUGGGCUUAAAGGGCGCGUAGGCGGGCUGUCAAGUCUGGGGUGAAAUCUUUCGGCUUAACCGGAAAAUUGCCCUGGAUACUGGCAGUCUGGAGGGAGGUAGGGGCAUGUGGAACUUCCGGUGGAGCGGUGAAAUGCGUUGAUAUCGGAAGGAACGCCGGUGGCGAAAGCGACGUGCUGGACCUCUUCUGACGCUGAGGCGCGAAAGCUAGGGGAGCGAACGGG
Molecule: ribosomal RNA, 253 nt
Filed under: uncultured bacterium
Lineage: Bacteria
Description: partial 16S ribosomal RNA
Rfam family: Bacterial small subunit ribosomal RNA
Source: RNAcentral